Non-coding RNA from Podarcis lilfordi (Lilford's wall lizard), 116 nucleotides. Lineage: Eukaryota; Metazoa; Chordata; Lepidosauria; Squamata; Lacertidae. The record is from the annotation of a GenBank genome assembly.
CAUUUAGAGAUGGGAAGGCCUGGGGAAAAAACAAUAAAAGUUGUGGGGGAAAUGGGGGGGACCUGUUUCUCCCCCUAUUUUCCCUAUUUUUUUCCAGGCCUUCCCAUCUCUAAACA